UCUGUCCUGCUGCAUGAUCUUGGAUAGAAGGAGAAAACUAUCCUGGAAAGUAGAAUGGAAAGUUUGGCCUAAAACACUAUUUUCUAAGAGGAAUCUGGCCUAUUUUCUGAAUACGUUUGGAAAAGUCAAGCAAGAUGCCCAUAUCUGCUGUCCUUGAGUUAUAUCUGAGGCCUAUUUUUCACAAAAGGUAGUUCAAGUCAGUGGUGGCUCAAGAUCUCAGCAUCCUAAGGCAGGGCACAAAAUGCCACUCUCUCCUCUCAAGUACAGGUAUCCACCUCUGCUUCAUGGCAGCUACAGACACCAUUUGGUGCCUAACUGGAUUACUUUCCCUCACCUUCUUCAUGAACUGCUGGGCUGCAUAUGGGCAGAAUCCCUUCAGACUGCAUGUGUGGGCUCACGGGACUGAUUAUUCCUCCAUUCAGAAAAAAAACACCUCAUAGAAACCUAGCAUGUGAGGAAGAAGGCUAGAUUCUGAAUCCUUUCCCUUGAUAUCUAGUUUUCUUCAUGCAUAUAUUCAUGUAUUUUCCUACAAUUUAGGACCACCACCACCCCGCCCUGCCCCCCAACUCAUCUGAUGUUUUCUCUUAGGCAGCAGUUAACAGUAGUUUAGCUGUGAAGUUUCAAAGACAUCAGUGACAGUUGGUAGUUUCUAAUUCUGGAAGUAUAUUAACUGCAUCAGAGAUUCAGGCAUGUCUGCUUAGCACACACUUCAGAUCCCAGGUCAAUUGAUUUAUUGUGUGAGAACAUUAACUUGAAAGCUUCAGGUUGUUGUCAUCAGAAGUACCUAUUUCUUUAGGUGAAGCCAGAAAGUGUUUCAAAAAAGGAACGAAAUCACCUAAGUGAACACUGCUCAUUUUAAGAGUUCCUUGAAUAAAGUUGAAUCUAGUUGGAAACAUGUGCAUUAAUCUAGCACUUUAUGUCUAUGAAAUAUUGUACAUCCCGCUGUGUGUGGGCUAAAAGAUAAAAAUCAGAUGAAUGGGAAAGAAAAGCUAUUUUGUUCCCGAGGAAAGAUUCAGAAUGGUUGUAUGGAAUCUAUUCAAAGAAAAGCUUGAAGCCAAUGAAAGCUAAUUAAAUAUCCUUAUUGUUUCUUAGGAGUUUAGUGAUUACAGAUAAAUACAUAAGGGGAAGAACCACUGUGCAGGCAGAGGCAACCACAGAGGAAGUGGGCACAGCUCCCACAGAUUAUUUCUUUAAUAAGAUUACCUGCUCUGUUUAUGAUGUAAGCAUGGCAGAUUAUUAACCAGUAAUAUACUAGUUGAUUUCAUUGGUACUUAAAAAAAAACACAACCCACCCACCCCUAGGAACAGAACAAUGACAAUGAGUUAACAAUAACCUGUUGAAAAGUAUGGUGCCUGAUAAGAUGAUUACUCUUUCUCUGUAUAUCAAGACACCACAUGCUUCAUGUGGCACAUCAGAUAAAUGUGUAUUUCCCCCUCUUAAGAAAAUGAGAGUCUGUAAAGGGAUAUUAGAGAAAUUGUGGGAAUGAGACAUGUAAGAAAUUUGAUUUCCAUUAAAGUGCGAGCCAAAGAUGUCCUAGAUUAUCAUUAUAAGAUUUCCUUGACAUAACAAUUUGAACAUGUUGAGAAAAGAAACGAGAGCUCCACCAAUUACCAGCAAUAUGUAAUAAUAUGUGAUGUAAUAAUAUGUGAGUAGUGUGAAUGGUUUUUGUGAACAUGAGAUGUUUUUGAAGCAAAGGAUUUUAUAGUUGGUCACUGUGAUCUCUUUUAAAAAUCAAAAGUCCAUUUCGAAUUUCUCCCCUGCCCCAUUAAAUAAAGUUUUGUCCCUUG
This is a long non-coding RNA of Hemicordylus capensis (graceful crag lizard), 1788 nucleotides long. RefSeq lists it as uncharacterized. NCBI's taxonomy places the organism in Eukaryota, Metazoa, Chordata, Lepidosauria, Squamata, Cordylidae. The transcript is spliced from 2 exons. The record is from RefSeq and is a predicted model, not a curated record.